AUUCAUUUCGCAAAAAUUCAGAGAUUUUCGAUCUCCUCGAAAGAAAAUGAGUUCGAUCAGCAACACCGGUCUGUGCAGCACCAGGAUAAAGACCUUCUUUUUACCCAUAACCUUUCUCUGCAGCAUUGGAACCAAUAG
Molecule: ribosomal RNA, 138 nt
Filed under: Triticum aestivum (bread wheat)
Lineage: Eukaryota; Viridiplantae; Streptophyta; Magnoliopsida; Poales; Poaceae
Description: partial small subunit ribosomal RNA
Source: RNAcentral